This 850-nucleotide ribosomal RNA is filed under the name uncultured bacterium. RNAcentral describes it as "bacterial SSU rRNA". It matches the Rfam family "Bacterial small subunit ribosomal RNA", at positions 50 to 897 of the family's 1533-position model. The record is from RNAcentral.
GCUAUCUGCAGUCGAGGGGCAGCGCAGUGUAGCAAUACAUGGGCGGCGACCGGCAAACGGGUGCGGAACACGUACGCAACCUUCCUUCAAGCGGGGCAUAGCUUUCGGAAACGAAAAUUAAUACCCCAUAGUAAUGUCUGAGGGCAUCUGAGGAUAUUUAAAGAUUUAUCACUUGAAGAUGGGCGUGCGCCUGAUUAGGUAGUUGGCGGGGUAACGGCCCACCAAGCCUACGAUCAGUAACUGGUGUGAGAGCACGACCAGUCACACGGGCACUGAGACACGGGCCCGACUCCUACGGGAGGCAGCAGUAAGGAAUAUUGGUCAAUGGACGCAAGUCUGAACCAGCCAUGCCGCGUGGAGGAUGAAGGUCCUCUGGAUUGUAAACUUCUUUUAUCGGAGAAGAAACCCCUGAAUUCUUUUAGGGUUGACGGUACCCGAUGAAUAAGCACCGGCUAACUCCGUGCCAGCAGCCGCGGUAAUACGGAGGGUGCAAGCGUUAUCCGGAUUCACUGGGUUUAAAGGGAGCGUAGGUGGGCUGGUAAGUCAGUGGUGAAAUCUCCGGGCUUAACUCGGAAACUGCCGUUGAUACUAUCAGUCUUGAAUAUUGUGGAGGUAAGCGGAAUAUGUCAUGUAGCGGUGAAAUGCUUAGAUAUGACAUAGAACACCGAUAGCGAAGGCAGCUUGCUACACAAUUAUUGACACUGAGGCUCGAAAGCGUGGGGAUCAAACAGGAUUAGAUACCCUGGUAGUCCACGCCCUAAACGAUGGAUACUCGACAUAUGCGAUACACUGUAUGUGUCUGAGCGAAAGCAUUAAGUAUCCCACCUGGGAAGUACGACCGCAAGGUUGA